Long non-coding RNA from Notolabrus celidotus (New Zealand spotty), 1227 nucleotides. RefSeq lists it as uncharacterized. Lineage: Eukaryota; Metazoa; Chordata; Actinopteri; Labriformes; Labridae. The transcript has 4 exons. The record is from RefSeq and is a predicted model, not a curated record.
AGACUGUGACAACUGGACUGUUCAGUCUGAGCUAAUGGCUUCUGUUAAUGCCUUUCUCUAGUUUCACCUGGUGGAAAUCCAUCUAAAUCUAUCUGACUGCAAGUUUGGGAUUCUUAGCCACCAGCAUCCUGAUUCAAACAUGUCAGGGCUGUGAGCAGCAACCAGGUGGUCGGGUCACGGAGUCACAUCCACGAGAUGAUUGGCACACUGGAGACUCAUAACAAGCAGCACUUAUCCAUCCAGCUUUCACACUGAGUGAGGAGGAUUAUAGCCAAGCUCUCCACGCGUAACCCCAGAUUCUCAUCCCACUUCUAAUCCCCUGUAGAGACCUAAAAUAGCAGAUUCCAAAGUGCUCACAUGAAGCACCAGCGCAAACAAUCUGCCAGGGACAAAUGGUGAAGUACGUCAGCGGACCAGUGAGCCAAACUCCAAAAUAACCAGUCUUCACCUUAAAGACUGCUGGGUCAUGAGCUCUGAUAAGAACUCCAGCUUUUCAAAUUGUGGCUCAGACUGAGAAGCGCCUGCAAAUACAAAUGAGCUGAACACCCUGCAAACUGCCUCUUACAUCAUGGAUUGGAGUAGGAUAGUUUUGCGCUGCAUUAGUCAGAUCGUAGACUGCAUGAAAAGAUGGACGACAUGACAGUGCCCUUAAAGUGGAUCCAAAAGAUUUAACUGACUGGCUGCAGUAUAAGUCAAACAGCUCCGCCUCCUCCAUGUUAACAGACUGGACUUCAGUAAAACUGUAGAAUCUGAAUACACGUCACAGAAAUUCCUCUCAAACAUGGUUUCUGUCUCUAAAAUUGGCCCUUAAUAUGAUGAUUUACAUUCAAAUCCUAAUUUUUCGGAAGAUUAUAGCUUUAAUUAGAAACUUCAUGCUGUUUAAAGGGGAAUUAACGCCAUGAUUGACAGCUAUUUUUCUAAAUCUGCAGAGCUUUAUUCACCAUGUCUGCGAUAACACACUCACACAAGCCAGACUAAGGAAUCUGUUCUGCUCUUGACUCUGCCAACCUGAGGGGACCUUUUGCUCUGGUAUUGUUAACUUAAGUGUGUUUUAGUCGUCUGAAGAGUCACUGGUGCUGUCACAAAGUACAGAAGGUCAGGAUCGGUCAAGCACAGUAGAGGUUAGAGUAAGUUCAAUCUUUAAUUAACAUGACAAUGCAGAAUGUGUCAACUAUAAGAUCUGCUGUCUGAUAAAAUGUGUGAAAUAAAGUAUGUAUUUCCUCUUGA